GACGAACGCUGGCGGCGUGCUUAACACAUGCAAGUCGAACGGAAAGGCCCUGCUUUUGUGGGGUGCUCGAGUGGCGAACGGGUGAGUAACACGUGAGUAACCUGCCCUUGACUUUGGGAUAACUUCAGGAAACUGGGGCUAAUACCGGAUAGGAGCUCCUGCUGCAUGGUGGGGGUUGGAAAGUUUCGGCGGUUGGGGUAGGACUCGCGGCUUAUCAGCUUGUUGGUGGGGUAGUGGCUUACCAAGGCUUUGACGGGUAGCCGGCCUGAGAGGGUGACCGGGCACAUUGGGACUGAGAUACGGCCCAGACUCCUACGGGAGGCAGCAGUGGGGAAUAUUGCACGAUGGGCGGAAGCCUGAUGCAGCAACGCCGCGUGCGGGAUGACGGCCUUCGGGUUGGAAACCGCUUUCGCCUGUGACGAAGCGUGAGUGACGGUAAUGGGUAAAGAAGCACCGGCUAACUACGUG
RNAcentral lists this ribosomal RNA (468 nucleotides) under uncultured bacterium. RNAcentral describes it as "partial 16S ribosomal RNA". It matches the Rfam family "Bacterial small subunit ribosomal RNA", at positions 28 to 507 of the family's 1533-position model. The record is from RNAcentral.